CUCGACCGCCGUGCUACCUUGAACAAGCCCAAUCCCGUCUGAUCUCGGAAGCUAAGCAGGAUCAGGCCUGGUUCCUACUUGGAUGGGAGACCACCUAGGAAGACCAGGUGCUGUAGGCG
RNAcentral lists this ribosomal RNA (119 nucleotides) under Pteropus alecto (black flying fox). Lineage: Eukaryota; Metazoa; Chordata; Mammalia; Chiroptera; Pteropodidae. The record is from RNAcentral.